GGGCGUAGAGGGCUCGCAGGCGGUUUCUUAAGUCUGAUGUGAAAGCCCCCGGCUCAACCGGGGAGGGUCAUUGGAAACUGGGAAACUUGAGUGCAGAAGAGGAGAGUGGAAUUCCACGUGUAGCGGUGAAAUGCGUAGAGAUGUGGAGGAACACCAGUGGCGAAGGCGACUCUCUGGUCUGUAACUGACGCUGAGGAGCGAAAGCGUGGGGAGCGAACAGGAUUAGAUACCCUGGUAGUCCACGCCGUAAACGAUGAGUGCUAAGUGUUAGGGGGUUUCCGCCCCUUAGUGCUGCAGCUAACGCAUUAAGCACUCCGCCUGGGGAGUACGGUCGCAAGACUGAAACUCAAAGGAAUUGACGGGGGCCCGCACAAGCGGUGGAGCAUGUGGUUUAAUUCGAAGCAACGCGAAGAACCUUACCAGGUCUUGACAUCCUCUGACAACCCUAGAGAUAGGGCUUUCCCUUCGGGGACAGAGUGACAGGUGGUGCAUGGUUGUCGUCAGCUCGUGUCGUGAGAUGUUGGGUUAAGUCCCGCAACGAGCGCAACCCUUGAUCUUAGUUGCCAGCAUUCAGUUGGGCACUCUAAGGUGACUGCCGGUGACAAACCGGAGGAAGGUGGGGAUGACGUCAAAUCAUCAUGCCCCUUAUGACCUGUGCUACACACGUGCUACAAUGGACAGAACACAGGGCUGCAAGACCGCAAGGUUUAGCCAAUCUCAUAAAUCUGUUCUCAGUUCGGAUCGCAGUCUGCAACUCGACUGCGUGAAGCUGGAAUCGCUAGUAAUCGCGGAUCAGCAUGCCGCG
This 805-nucleotide ribosomal RNA is filed under the name Bacillus pumilus. RNAcentral's name for it is "bacterial SSU rRNA". It matches the Rfam family "Bacterial small subunit ribosomal RNA", at positions 556 to 1361 of the family's 1533-position model. The record is from RNAcentral. Lineage: Bacteria; Bacillati; Bacillota; Bacilli; Caryophanales; Bacillaceae.